Molecule: non-coding RNA, 73 nt
Organism: Aeromicrobium sp. Leaf289
Lineage: Bacteria; Bacillati; Actinomycetota; Actinomycetes; Propionibacteriales; Nocardioidaceae
Source: Rfam
GCCCCGUUGGUCUAGCGGUUAUGACGCCGCCCUCUCAAGGCGGAGAUCGCCGGUUCGAAUCCGGUACGGGGUA